This 592-nucleotide long non-coding RNA is filed under the name Malus domestica (apple). Its description in RNAcentral is "long non-coding RNA (MDOM_LNC019816)". Lineage: Eukaryota; Viridiplantae; Streptophyta; Magnoliopsida; Rosales; Rosaceae. The record is from RNAcentral.
AAAAACACCUAGAAUACACAAAUCUUGGAAAAGUGUUCAUGGUUUUGUUCUUGGUGUUCAUAGUUUGGUUUUGGGUGAAAAUGGUUUUAUUUGGUUUUCAUGCAUGGUCUUAUGGUUUUGGAUGAUGUUCUUACCAUCCAUAACCAUAUUAAAACUUAUUAAAACCCUAGACUUGUCUAGGAGAUUUCCAUCAAUUUUUCAUUAAAGCCAUUUAAUGCCAAAACCAAGUGACAAGCAAAAUUGUGAUUUUUUCUACUUUGCAUUAAAUUGUUGCAUGUGGGUGAGACUUCCCACCCUCCCAUUGAAUGGCCGGCCUCCCUAGUGGAUUUAUCCACUUGUGGGGCUAUUUUGUAAUCUUUGAAAAGUUGAUAUUUAUUUUGAAAUAUUUACGGUUUUACCCCUAACUUUUCAUAUUUACAUUUAGGCCCCUACUAACUAGAAAGUUAAAAUAUUUGAUUUUAAUUUUGUUAGUUGUUUAAACUCAUAAUACUAUUAUGCCCAUAUGCACUAAAUCUAAAUGUUUAUGUUGCAUUCCAUCAUGAUUAUUUACAUGUGUUUAAGUAGUUAUGAAAUGGAUGACUUUGGACUUAUG